RNAcentral lists this ribosomal RNA (500 nucleotides) under uncultured bacterium. Its description in RNAcentral is "bacterial SSU rRNA". It matches the Rfam family "Bacterial small subunit ribosomal RNA", at positions 28 to 573 of the family's 1533-position model. The record is from RNAcentral.
AACGAACGCUGGCGGCAUGCCUAACACAUGCAAGUCGAACGCCCUGGUUCGCCAGGGAGUGGCGCACGGGUGAGUAACGCGUGGGAACCUGCCCGGCAGUACGGGACAACCGCGGGAAACUGCGGCUAAUACCGUAUACGGCCUGAGGGCGAAAGAAUUUCGCUGUCGGAGGGGCCCGCGUCGGAUUAGGUAGUUGGUGGGGUAACGGCCUACCAAGCCUGCGAUCCGUAGCUGGUCUGAGAGGAUGAUCAGCCACACUGGGACUGAGACACGGCCCAGACUCCUACGGGAGGCAGCAGUGGGGAAUAUUGGACAAUGGGCGCAAGCCUGAUCCAGCAAUGCCGCGUGAGUGAUGAAGGCCUUAGGGUUGUAAAGCUCUUUCGCCCGCGACGAUGAUGACGGUAGCGGGAGAAGAAGCCCCGGCUAACUCCGUGCCAGCCGCCGCGGUAAUACGGAGGGGGCUAGCGUUGUUCGGAAUUACUGGGCGUAAAGGGCGCGCA